This is a small nucleolar RNA of Hevea brasiliensis (rubber tree), 119 nucleotides long. NCBI's taxonomy places the organism in Eukaryota, Viridiplantae, Streptophyta, Magnoliopsida, Malpighiales, Euphorbiaceae. The record is from RefSeq and is a predicted model, not a curated record.
AUCCCAGAUGAUGUUUGUUUUGUGAUUAUCUGAUUCAUGGGAGGCAAAUAACAAAAUGGGAGUUCGCUGAUGGCACUUCCUCCUUUGGAAUUGUUUUAAUAGUAGCUCACCAUACAUAU